GUAUAACGACGUGCAACAUAACUGUAACCAUCUUUAGACCUAUGUUGAAGGUGAUUCCUUCUGUUUCGUGUUGACGACGUUCUACCUCUGCAACAGGAAAUCAAGUAACACCUACGGCCGAUCAUAUCCUUGAGAUGAGCGGUAAACGGCGAAAUUGUGUAGGGUGCUAUGAAAAACUGCGGGAAACCAUGAAGAGUUCCGAGGUGAAAAGGAUAGUAAAAAAAAUUAAAACAUACUGCAGAAUGUGCAAGCAAAAUCUUUGUGCGAAAUGUUUUAAAGACAGCCAUUAAUAAAUAAUUAAAUAAACAAUUUUUAUUUCUUUACUUUAA
Bombyx mori (domestic silkworm) is the source of this 329-nucleotide long non-coding RNA. RefSeq lists it as uncharacterized. NCBI's taxonomy places the organism in Eukaryota, Metazoa, Arthropoda, Insecta, Lepidoptera, Bombycidae. The record is from RefSeq and is a predicted model, not a curated record. The transcript is spliced from 2 exons.